RNAcentral lists this microRNA (19 nucleotides) under Gallus gallus (chicken). Its description in RNAcentral is "microRNA Ros-gga". The record is from RNAcentral. Lineage: Eukaryota; Metazoa; Chordata; Aves; Galliformes; Phasianidae.
GCCCUACUACUCUCCACCC